UUGAGGAUAAUUAUAUGUGUUGAAAAGGUUCAAGUUUGGGGUUGUAUAGGGAAAGUGAAAGGCAAAAGAAAAAAAAACAUUGAGUUCAAAAGUUGAAAAAGAAAAAUGCAUGAGAAAAAGAAAGUAGAAGAAGAAAGAAAAAGCAUGAAAAGUGAACUCAAUGUAAAAAAGGAAAAAGGGAAGAAGUUGGGAAUGAGUGAGAUUGGUUAAAAAGAGAGUGU
RNAcentral lists this long non-coding RNA (221 nucleotides) under Vigna radiata. Its description in RNAcentral is "long non-coding RNA (VRAD_LNC006099)". Lineage: Eukaryota; Viridiplantae; Streptophyta; Magnoliopsida; Fabales; Fabaceae. The record is from RNAcentral.